This 406-nucleotide ribosomal RNA is filed under the name uncultured bacterium. RNAcentral's name for it is "partial 16S ribosomal RNA". It matches the Rfam family "Bacterial small subunit ribosomal RNA", at positions 28 to 526 of the family's 1533-position model. The record is from RNAcentral.
AUUGAACGCUGGCGGCAGGCCUAACACAUGCAAGUCGAACGAGUGGCGGACGGGUGAGUAAUGUCUGGGAAACUGCCCGAUGGAGGGGGAUUACUACUGGAAACGGUAGCUAAUACCGCAUACCAUCGGAUGUGCCCAGAUGGGGUUAGCUAGUAGGUGGGGUAACGGCUCACCUAGGCGACGAUCCCUAGCUGGGCUGAGCGGUUGACCAGCCACACUGGAUCUGAGACACGGUCCAGCCUCCUACGGGAGGCGGCAGGGGGGAAUAUUGCACAAUGGGCGCGAGCCUGAUGCAGCCGUGCCGCGUGUAUGAAGAAGGCCUUCGGGUUUUAAAGUACUUUCAGCGAGGAGGCGUUGCUCGCAGGAGGAGCGCCGGCUAGCUCCGUGCCAGCAGCCGCGGUGAUUC